Molecule: long non-coding RNA, 432 nt
Organism: Centruroides sculpturatus (bark scorpion)
Lineage: Eukaryota; Metazoa; Arthropoda; Arachnida; Scorpiones; Buthidae
Exons: 3
Source: RefSeq, a predicted model, not a curated record
GAACGCUUAGCAUGGCCUGAAAGUUGAGAAGGUUGUUUGGAAAAUGUUCCAUUCAUAUAGUCGAAUUUUCGUUAAGAUUCGGUAAGAUAAUAAAAAAUAACUCGGGAUAUGUUAUUUAUAUCUUCCAGUAAUGCCUUAUUUAAGGUUUUAAUAUCGUGAUGGAUCAUCCAAGCGCUAUCUUCUAAACCAGAUCCUUGUAUGGAGGUGCAGAGCCUUCUUCUCAACCAGGGAUUUCGAGGGAUAGCACCAUAUGUGAAAUUUAAAAAGAAUAUACCAGUAGUCUAAAUGAUGAUUCAUCCAAGUAUCAAAUUUAUAUGAUGCAAGAUGAGUUGAAAUUUCUAUGUCAAUCAAAAUUUAUAAUAUAUUUUGCACUAUAGGCAUUAACAAGUAAAGCUAAUUUAUCCAGUACUAUGUUCUAAACUAUAUUUAGUA